GCGGAAGGAUCAUUAGAAAUAUCUGGGAUGCUCAAUAUGAGUUCCCAACAAAACACAUUCAUGCGUAUUCUUCCGUGUGUUUCCCCAGACCAAUGGCCAGUACGUACCAUCUUGGCCCAUAACAGGGUAUCCAGCUGGUGUACAGCCGCGUGUGUCUGGGAAGGCCCAAAUUGGCAAAACUUUAUGUUAACUUACUGUCUGACAAGGCCAUGUGCCCCUGUAUUUUAAAUAUUUUAAAACUUUCAACAACGGAUCUCUUGGCUCUCGCAUCGAUGAAGAACGCAGCGAAAUGCGAUAAGUAAUGUGAAUUGCAGAAUUCAGUGAAUCAUCGAAUCUUUGAACGCACAUUGCGCCCUUUGGUAUUCCUUAGGGCAUGCCUGUUCGAGCGUCACUAAAAACCCCAUCACAUUAUGUGUGGUAUUGGCAGAAGUGGGUACUCCCACCCUGCUGGAAUCAAUAGGCUGGAAAAGUAGAUCGUAGCAACAGACUUUCAGAGUGUUUUGAAAUGCUAAAUUAGUUUGAAGCUGGUCGGAACCCCAGGCCAUUUGACCCCCAUUCUGCACAAAGCAGUAAGGUUGACCUCGGAUCAGGUAGGGAUACCCGCUGAACUUAAGCAUAUCAA
RNAcentral lists this ribosomal RNA (622 nucleotides) under Tuber arnoldianum. RNAcentral describes it as "eukaryotic LSU rRNA". The stretch from base 238 to 391 matches the Rfam family "5.8S ribosomal RNA". The record is from RNAcentral. Lineage: Eukaryota; Fungi; Ascomycota; Pezizomycetes; Pezizales; Tuberaceae.